AGGAGUGUAGCUCAGCUGGUAGAGCAUCGGUCUCCAAAACCGAGGGCCGUGGGUUCGAGUCCCUCCACUCCUGCCA
RNAcentral lists this transfer RNA (76 nucleotides) under Brevundimonas sp. RNAcentral's name for it is "tRNA-Trp". It matches the Rfam family "tRNA". From Rfam's summary of the family: Transfer RNA (tRNA) molecules are approximately 80 nucleotides in length. Their secondary structure includes four short double-helical elements and three loops (D, anti-codon, and T loops). Further hydrogen bonds mediate the characteristic L-shaped molecular structure. tRNAs have two regions of fundamental functional importance: the anti-codon, which is responsible for specific mRNA codon recognition, and the 3' end, to which the tRNAs corresponding amino acid is attached (by aminoacyl-tRNA synthetases). tRNAs cope with the degeneracy of the genetic code in two manners: having more than one tRNA (with a specific anti-codon) for a particular amino acid; and 'wobble' base-pairing, i.e. permitting non-standard base-pairing at the 3rd anti-codon position. Lineage: Bacteria; Pseudomonadati; Pseudomonadota; Alphaproteobacteria; Caulobacterales; Caulobacteraceae. RNAcentral also lists the same sequence under 22 other names. The record is from RNAcentral.